Molecule: ribosomal RNA, 427 nt
Filed under: uncultured bacterium
Lineage: Bacteria
Description: partial 16S ribosomal RNA
Rfam family: Bacterial small subunit ribosomal RNA
Source: RNAcentral
UGGGGAAUAUUGCACAAUGGGCGCAAGCCUGAUGCAGCCAUGCCGCGUGUAUGACGAAGGCCUUCGGGUUGUAACGUACUUUCAGCGGGGAGGAAGGCGAUAAGGUUAAUAACCUUGUCGAUUGACGUUACCCGCAGAAGAAGCACCGUCUAACUCCGUGCCAGCAGCCGCGGUAAUACGGAGGGUGCAAGCGUUAAUCGGAAUUACUGGGCGUAAAGCGCACGCAGGCGGUCUGUCAAGUCGGAUGUGAAAUCCCCGGGCUCAACCUGGGAACUGCAUUCGAAACUGGCAGGCUAGAGUCUUGUAGAGGGGGGUAGAAUUCCAGGUGUAGCGGUGAAAUGCGUAGAGAUCUGGAGGAAUACCGGUGGCGAAGGCGGCCCCCUGGACAAAGACUGACGCUCAGGUGCGAAAGCGUGGGGAGCAAACA